Molecule: transfer RNA, 69 nt
Filed under: Marmota marmota marmota (Alpine marmot)
Lineage: Eukaryota; Metazoa; Chordata; Mammalia; Rodentia; Sciuridae
Also listed under: 1 other name
Rfam family: tRNA
About the family: Transfer RNA (tRNA) molecules are approximately 80 nucleotides in length. Their secondary structure includes four short double-helical elements and three loops (D, anti-codon, and T loops). Further hydrogen bonds mediate the characteristic L-shaped molecular structure. tRNAs have two regions of fundamental functional importance: the anti-codon, which is responsible for specific mRNA codon recognition, and the 3' end, to which the tRNAs corresponding amino acid is attached (by aminoacyl-tRNA synthetases). tRNAs cope with the degeneracy of the genetic code in two manners: having more than one tRNA (with a specific anti-codon) for a particular amino acid; and 'wobble' base-pairing, i.e. permitting non-standard base-pairing at the 3rd anti-codon position.
Source: Rfam by way of RNAcentral
GGAGUUGUGGCUCAGCGGUAGAGCGCUCACCUAGCAUGUGUGAGGCCCUGAGUUCGAGCCUCAGCACCA